Aphis gossypii (cotton aphid) is the source of this 1204-nucleotide long non-coding RNA. RefSeq lists it as uncharacterized. NCBI's taxonomy places the organism in Eukaryota, Metazoa, Arthropoda, Insecta, Hemiptera, Aphididae. The transcript has 3 exons. The record is from RefSeq and is a predicted model, not a curated record.
AAUGGUUUGAGUAAAUUGGUUUUCGUUAAAUUAACUAAUUUAUUUAUUGUAUACAAGGUACAUCGAUUUUAUAAUACGUUUAUUACGCAUUCAAUAUAUAUAUAUAUAUAUAUCAUUCCUGAGUCCUCCGUGUAAGAACUCUACGAAAAUUGUACGUCCUACAAGACGAAAUUACUGCCGUUUUCCAAAGACUCGUGUCUGUUCCAAUUAGUAAUCGGAGUACUUAGUUUAAUUUUUCCAUUUCGUCGGUAUACUUUUAAGCAACGUGAACAUUUCAAUUCCAGCCGGUUCAAUUGUAACUUCAAUUAUUAUAAUAUUUAAUCGUCGUCGUCGUAAUCACGUCGAACCCUUUUGCGGAAUAUACGCAAUAUGGUCGCGACCGAUGCGCCUGGCUCACGCGCGUAAUAGGUGUACGGCGGAUGCGCUGUGUCAGUGUAACUAAGUGAUAUAAUAACUGUUUACAAUAGAACAUUUAACAUUAUAAACACCAUGCAAAUACAUGUUUAUUACAGUGGUACGGUUCGUAUUGAGCAAACAGUUUACAAGUCAUAAACACAAAAAUAUAUCGUGCACAAGGCGGAGAACGUUUCAUUGUGUGCGCAUCGAACACGAAUAGGCACGCAGACACACAAGCUUGUUUUUAUUGAUCCAGUGAAAGUGAAAACAUGUUGGUCGCUAUAGAUUUUCAGUUAAAAAUGUGAGUUGUGCUGUUAAAAAAGAUUGAGAACCAUUAAUACUUAGCUCGAGGAUCAAUGGUCAAUGUAGAGUUUGAUAUGAUAUUAACUUUCGGCUAAUGACGAUCACAUUUUAUAUAACUACAAAAUUUUCUGGUCCACCUGGUUGUAUUUUAAAUUUUUUUUUGUGGAGAUUUCGAAUCAUAUCACUGUCGAUGUUUCUAUGGCAUUGCUCAAAAGAUCAGCGCUUGCUCCAAAAAAAAUUGUCAAUUACUAUUACCGAGGGUGUAAUAACAACAUAAACCCAUAUUAUAAUAUACAUAAUACAUAUAAUAAUUUUGGUUUUUGAUAACACCUCGUGUUACCCGUACGCUGUAAAUUAGCAGACGGUUUAAAAUAAUUCCGCUCCAUGAAUGUUUAUGCAUAGGCACACGAUUUUUGCUGUUCCUUUGAUGUUGGAAGCCUAACCGGGUUCGAGUCAAGUUCGACGACCUGAUUUGUCCCGUCGCUUCUAAUUUUAUGCGCCUAAA